GAAGCUGAGACUAGUGAUCCGAGCUCAGCAUCGAUCACCACCACUACCUCAACAUUGAUCGACACCAACACCGCAACAUCGAUCGAUGAUAUGUGGUGUUUUAGACAUCUUGUAUAUAUGCUUUUCAAUUAGUUUUCAAGUCUUUAUUGAGUCUUCCUAGUCCUUUACGAGUCAUUACAGGUCUGGAGUUGCAUUGGAUGGGCGAUGGCUGGAACACAAGAGGCAGAAAAGAGUGCAAUUUGGUGAUUUUCACGCAAAACAGUCUUGAUGGUUGUUCCCGAUCGCGCAGAAUACCCCGAGUGUCUGUUCCAGCGGCAAAGAUUUUUAAGGAAGUUUCCAAAUAUUUCGGGUACCUAGGGCUUCCCCCUUUUUCUCCUUGGCCGCAAGAGACCUGCAAAUAUAUCUUUUCUUAUUCUUUUAGACAUUCUACGUUAGUUUUUGGAGAAGAAACCAGAUUGGAGCUUUUGGAGAUUUGUGAUUUGAUACUUUGUAAAGGGAUAAUUCUAUCUCUCUCGAUUUAGAGAAGAACCUCCUGAACCUUAUUUUUGUUUUAUCUACACAUGUUUUCUUCAUCUGUUAUCUCUGUGAUUUCUCUGUUCAUGUCUGAGUAGUCGCUUGCUAGGUUUAGGGUGUUAGGGAUCAUAGAUAAAUGAGCUAGACACAAAUAGGAUUGUUAUUCUUUGAUAUCUCUAUCUAUUGUUAUGCUUACUGCUUAUGUUAAACUGGCAAUUUAGCAUCUGAUAUAUAGGUUUAAUCUAAUCAUCAAAAGUGUUUUAGGUUGCUAGAAAAAGCAUAGAUAGGCGAUUUGUCCUUAGACAACGAAAGCUGAUGCUAAGGCAAAUCGUGAACCAAUUGAAUCUGAACUUAAUGCGUGUCAUCAUUCUCUGAUCCAAAUGACAGUUUAGGCAUUAGGAUUGCUUGAUAAAUUGGUAGACACCACGACAGUGGGUUUAUCUAUUCUUGUUGUUCAAGUUCUAGAUUGGCUCUUAUUGCCUUCCUGAAUAGUUGUGUAGCUCAUGUUCUAAGUAUUCCAAUGAAUCACCCUGAACCUAGCUCUUUUAAUCAUCUGAAAUCUUUAAUUAAUCUUGUUACUUGCUUGAUAUUGAUCCUAUAGAAAUAAAGUGUAAAUUGGUCCUCUGGAAAUAAAUCUCAAAUAUUACAUCUGCACUAUUAGCUUGCAGCAGUAAAGACACAAUUUUAGUGUAUCAACCGACCACAACACCUCAGCAACGAUCUACACAGACUUUUGUCAUCGAUAGAUACCACUUGAAAUCUCUGAAAAAUCAAGUUUUCCUCAGGACAUCGCAGACUCGGAACAAAAGAGUACUGAUGUAUUAAGUUGUUAUCAUGCCCCAAAUGUAGAAUAAGAGAUCACCAUGGAAGAUUUCUUGGAGCUAGAAGAACUCUUGGAGUUAAAGGAUGGAGAAAAGCUUGGAGAUUUGGAUUCGAGUAGGGAAGUCACUAUGGAAGACUUCUUGGAGCUGGAGGAAUGGCUUUAAGAUAUGGAUAAAAAUUCAAAGAAGAAGCUUGAUGACGAUCAGCAUACUUCGAGAGGAGAUCUGGAAACUUCACCAAAGGCUAGCAUCGAUCGACACCAACCUGAUGAGAUCGAUCAAAAAUAACCCCACAUCGUCGAUCAACUCCCACCCUAUAUCAUCGAUCGACACUCAGCAGAUAGCAUCGAUCUACACCCACACUCCAUCAUCGAUCGACACCCACUCGAGAUCAUCGAUCGACACCCAUCGCUGUAAGAACUGCCAGGAUACAUGAUUGAAAUAGGACCGAUUGAGGAGUGAGUGCACAAAUCUGAGACCUCACACCUUGUUGUCCCCGAACAUCUAAGACCACCUAUAUGCACAUAAGAAGCUGUUAGGAUUCGCAAAAGAGUGAAGAGGAUACAUGAUCCUGUGAGGAUUAUGGUUCCAUGCGAUGUAUUUGAUGCUGAAUCUCCUAUUCCACCUAAUAGAAGUAUGAAGUUCAGUUCUUACAUUGAGGUACUUGAUGAUCCUCUAUAUGCAGAAGCUUCUCAGAGAGGAUUGAUAUUUAGAAGUGAAGUCGAUACAUACCCCACAAAAUCAGUAUCGAACGAUAUCAAUAAGUCGGGAUCGAUCAACACUACCACUUCACCAUCGAUCGACACUACUACUUCAUCGUCGAUCAACAGUGGACGCAUAUCAAAGCAGAAGGAGUUUGAUGUGUGUGAAAAUAUUUUGAUGGAGUUAACACCACGCGAUCAGACAAGUUUGAGAGAAAUAAGAGGAGGAAUUGGAAGAAGAGAAAAAUGAUCAAGGACGGUCCUCAGUUAUCAUUGAUUCCUCACUUAUCAGAUGGUGUCAGGAAAUCCAGAGUGUGCAGCAUCAAAGCCAUUUGCAAAGCUUCGAGCAAUCCUUACGGCUGAGAUAAUAGACAAACGAGAAGAGUCUAUGGAGGAGGCUUUCACAAAAUAAUGAUAAAGCUUCAGAAACUUGUUUGGAGCGAGUUCUCAUUCUCAUCCGGGCUGAAUCAGAUCUCCAGAAGUCAAGCUAAAUGACUAUAAUAAAGCGCUGAGUGGGAGGCAACCCACUAUUUGGUAAUUUUAUUCAGUUUAGGUUAAAAAAAUGAAUAGUAAGGACGACACUGUAGCAGCGCCGAGCGACACUGUAGCAAGAACAUCGAACCGCACUGUAGCAAGAAAAUCGAAUGGCAUGUAGCAAGAAAAUCGAGCGGCACUGUAGCAGCAACUUUGACUGACACUUUAGCAGAAAAUUAGAAGUUACUGUAGCUGAGAUACUGUAACAGGGUACUGUAUCAAAGUCACUAUUCAUUAAAAAAAAAUAAAAAAUUUUGAAUUGGUUUUAUUAAUUAUCUAUUACUGACUUUUAUUGUUUUUUUUUUAUGUUAGGUAAAAACAAAAGAUCCGAGGAAGACGAGUUUGCAUAAGAAUCGACGUUGACUAGCUAGCAUCGAUCGACUAAGCAUCACAAGUAUCAAUCACCACUUAACUGUGUUGAUCGAUACUCACAUCAAUCGCCACUUAACUGUGUUGAUCGAUACUCACAUCAAUCGGCACAUCAACCAAUGAGACCAGCUUGAUAUCGAUCGACAACGCUUCAGCAACAACGAUUAAUUGUCACUUCAUUGUGUCGAUCGACACUGACAUCAUCGAGCAGGUUAUCGUUCUUAGUUGUUAAAUUGUGUACUUAUGUUUAUGUUAUCAACAUAACUCCGACUGAAUUUACACUGGGGACAGUGUAGUUUAAGUCUGGGAGAGAGGUUUACUGAUAUUGGUUUAUUCAUGAGUCUUAUUAAAAUGUUUUCAAAAAUAAGAUUUUAUUGAGUCAAGAAAGAGACAAUGAACUUAUUGAUUUUGCUUGUUAUCUAACCACACCAUUCUAGACUUAAUAGUUGCAGAUAGCACUAAAGAUACUAAAUUGGAUCAACAUGUCAACUAUGUUACACUUGCUGAGAAUGUUUGAAGGAACCAAAGCUGACUUCCAACCUAACUAAGCUCAACUUGCUUGUCUUGGGGCUUGGUAUACAUGAGAUUAGAUUCUUCAAACAAGUCUGGAAGGUAAAAGCCUUGUGUAGAUAUGUCACCCUCUCUCUCUCUCUCUAUUUCAAAAUUUAGAUUA
Molecule: long non-coding RNA, 3611 nt
Organism: Brassica rapa (field mustard)
Lineage: Eukaryota; Viridiplantae; Streptophyta; Magnoliopsida; Brassicales; Brassicaceae
Source: RefSeq, a predicted model, not a curated record